Molecule: long non-coding RNA, 686 nt
Filed under: Callithrix jacchus (white-tufted-ear marmoset)
Lineage: Eukaryota; Metazoa; Chordata; Mammalia; Primates; Cebidae
Description: lncRNA (ENSCJAG00000086487.1)
Source: RNAcentral
GGGAAACAGAAUCACUAUUUGUCAUGAGAUAAGGGGUUUCUUACAGGAAUUAGACCUGGCUCAAUUAUGAGAGGAGCUGUGGAGGUGACAGUGCAGGAGGGAAGUGGGAGGAUCAAAGUAGUCAAAAUCCAGUGUGACUGAGAAGUCAAGCAUAUCCAGCCUCCAAGAUGGGACUUUGCAGACGAGUGUCACAGGAGGCCUCUGUGGGUGGCUGUGCCUCUGCAAGACUGCCGGCAAGCAUCUGAGGUAGGUCCCGGGGCUCUCCUUGGUCAGCAGGAUGAAUAGUCGGAAAGAAGGACUGGAAGCAUAGAGGAGGAGGGUGAAGACAAGCUGGAGCCCACUGGCACCUUGGCAUUUUUUUGGACACUGCAUCUAACGUUGAUGACCUUCAGCCAGGAACCACAGCUGCCUCACUUUUGCCGUCUAUAUUCCAUACAGGUACUCUCUGGGCCAACUCUCAACCAGAAACAUACAAGAACGGGCAUCUUAGGAGGUGACUUAAUGGAGUUGACACAGGACAAACUACCCCCAGGAUUUAGAAUCUGAGAGAAGAGGAAAGUAGUGAAGGGUCAGGGAAGACGUUCGGCUGCAGAAGUUGAGUGGGAGCCGUGGAAGAACCUGCCAACAUCAAAUACGAAACAGGACAGCAACAGCAAGCAGGGUUUGUUUAUUUAUUUACUCAUUUU